Molecule: long non-coding RNA, 771 nt
Organism: Oncorhynchus gorbuscha (pink salmon)
Lineage: Eukaryota; Metazoa; Chordata; Actinopteri; Salmoniformes; Salmonidae
Exons: 2
Source: RefSeq, a predicted model, not a curated record
AUACGGAGGAUGGAUAUAAGGGCAUACGGUCUAGAGGGUGCUGGUGGACUGUUUUUAAGAGUUAUUUUGGUUCAACUGCUGCAGAAGAUUCUAGAUUUUUCCGCCUCCAGCUGUCCUGCCAGGUACCACAACACCAAGUCCAUGUUGUCCUGAGAGAUGCAGUUUUCCCCUGACAUCAAAUCCGGAUGCACCCUUAUCCAGGAAGCUGGGCGUACCUACAACUACCGCCACUCUUGUUGUCAGGGAGUCAUAGAAAAUGCAUUGAGCACCAUGACUGCAAGGAUGAGGAUUCUUAUUCGGCCAAUCGUGUGUACCACUGCUAAAGAGGCUUAAUGACGUUGACCUGUGUGGCCCUCCACAACUACCAGUCCUCCACGGAUGAAGUUCAUGAACCAAACGCAGAUUUACAUGCCUCCCGCUUUUGCUAACACUGCCGUCCCGUCUGGCAGCUACCAACCUGGAGAGUGGAGGAGGGUUUGUGGCAGGGGACAAUCAUCUCCAAGAGCCAGGGAGACUCUCGUGCCAGGGUGACACAGCUUGCAAGCAAAACAAGAAAUAAGCCCAGGGACCUUCUUCCUCUCCCCCCUGGACGUGUGCCAUGGCAGGAAGACAUGGUUAGGAGAGGACAACUCAGCCCAAGGCCAGCUAAUCAGAACAGGCCUUUGUUUUCCACUGCUCACCAUGAUGGAUGCAGUUCUUCACUGUGAACCAAAGUACUUUGUACUAAAAUGUAGAUUUUUAAUCUUGUUAAUAAAAUGAAAGUUGAUUCUA